GGGAGUUUGGAAAGGUGAGGCGGUGGACAUUCUAUAAUGCAAGCGGAACAGAGUACGAAUGGCUACAACUCGAACAUCGACAGCAUGAUCUUAAGGAAGAGGAGCUGAAAGGAUGAAUAAGAGGCUUCCGGUGCUGCAGGGAUCUGACAGUGUGCAGCAGGACUGUGACCUUUUGACCCCCGCUGAAAGACAUCAGGACCGCACAGAUGGGAGGCACACCUUAGCCCCUGUAUGAUUCACUUUCGUUCUGAUUACUGCUUUAAUGUGGCGCAACAGCUCUUUUCCUGACCAGGUUCCUGUUUAGAGGUCUUCCUGUAAAUGUCAUGUGUUCCAUGAAUAAAUCGGACAUUAUGACUACGCAAUUGCA
Molecule: long non-coding RNA, 367 nt
Organism: Carassius gibelio (silver crucian carp)
Lineage: Eukaryota; Metazoa; Chordata; Actinopteri; Cypriniformes; Cyprinidae
Exons: 2
Source: RefSeq, a predicted model, not a curated record